This 446-nucleotide ribosomal RNA is filed under the name uncultured bacterium. Its description in RNAcentral is "bacterial SSU rRNA". It matches the Rfam family "Bacterial small subunit ribosomal RNA", at positions 331 to 794 of the family's 1533-position model. The record is from RNAcentral.
CCAGACUCCUACGGGAGGCAGCAGUGGGGAAUAUUGCACAAUGGGGGAAACCCUGAUGCAGCGACGCCGCGUGAAGGACGAAGUAUUUCGGUACGUAAACUUCUAUCAGCAGGGAAGAAAAUGACGGUACCUGACCAAGAAGCCCCGGCUAACUACGUGCCAGCAGCCGCGGUAAUACGUAGGGGGCAAGCGUUAUCCGGAUUUACUGGGUGUAAAGGGAGCGUAGACGGCCAUGCAAGUCUGAUGUGAAAACCCGGGGCUCAACCCCGGGACUGCAUUGGAAACUGUGCGGCUGGAGUGUCGGAGAGGCAAGUGGAAUUCCUAGUGUAGCGGUGAAAUGCGUAGAUAUUAGGAGGAACACCAGUGGCGAAGGCGGCUUGCUGGACGACGACUGACGUUGAGGCUCGAAAGCGUGGGGAGCAAACAGGAUUAGAUACCCCCGUACC